This 229-nucleotide ribosomal RNA is filed under the name uncultured bacterium. RNAcentral describes it as "partial 16S ribosomal RNA". It matches the Rfam family "Bacterial small subunit ribosomal RNA", at positions 568 to 796 of the family's 1533-position model. The record is from RNAcentral.
CACGUAGGCGGCUCGGUAAGUCAGAUGUGAAAGCCCGGGGCUUAACCCCGGAAGUGCAUUUGAUACUGCCAAGCUUGAGUAUGGGAGAGGGAAGUGGAAUUCCUGGUGUAGAGGUGAAAUUCGUAGAUAUCAGGAGGAACACCGGUGGCGAAGGCGGCUUCCUGGACCAAUACUGACGCUGAGGUGCGAAGGCGUGGGUAGCAAACAGGAUUAGAUACCCUGGUAGUCC